GAGGGCUGUGCACAUGUGCGGGUGCCUCUGGAAGGGGUGGGAGGAACUGGCUGGGCGGGGCGUCUCCAGGAGCUGCUUCCUCUGGACCUGGCAAGUUCAGCUCUGGUGGCCUCGCUGGGCACCAGGACGGAAGCUCGAGGUGAGACAGGGAAGAGGCCACUCCCGGUGUCUGUCCUGGUGUCCUUCACAGGGAGAGUGUGCUGCUGAGGCUGGCUGCUGCUCUUCAGACGUUUAACUGGACGUGUGUAUCUAGCUUGCAGAUGGACCAGCUCCGGCCAGCUCCUAAGAUCUCCUCCUCUCUUCUCCUCCCCCUCCCCCUCUUCUCUUCCUGCCCCCAUUCUCUUCUUCCUCCCUCCACUUCUCCUUCCCCCCUCCCCCUCCCCUCUUUCUCAGAUUUUGAACUUUAUCUGGUUUUCCUAACAUCCUCUCUGGCUCCAGGACACCACCCCUCGGACACUUGGAGGUUGUGUCUCCUUAGGCUCCUCCUGGCUGAGACGGUGGCCUGGACAGUUGUGAGGGUAUGGUGGGUUGUGCCGGUGGCUGGGUUGGAACCUGCAUGACUCUCACCUGGCUGCACUCUGGGUCCUGGGGAGAACCAUCAGGGCAGAGCAAGGUUCUUGCCUUGGCAGGGUGCACUCUCAACAGGACCCGUCACUGCUGGUGCAGAUCUGGGUCAGGGCAGGUGUUGGUGUCUCCUGUCGGUCACCCUGCCCCCAUUCCUACUGUCUCCCCUGGAGAGUCCCUCUGCAGUGGGCACUGCUGAUGUGGGAGGGAGCGCCCCAUCCUUUAUUCUAUUUUUGGGAGAUUUGCCCCUUCCUCAUGCAUGCUUUAUUCAGGUGUCCUCGUGGACUUGUGGACGCCGACUUUAUAGGCUGGGUCCUAAGACUACACUAUUUCCUUGCUCCAGUUGUUCCAGCUCUGGCCACUGGGGGCGCUUCCAUGUGUCCCCAUCAUUUGAGCUUUUCGUUGUUUUUUAAGACAGGGUCUCACUCUGUUGCCCAGGCUGGUCUGGGACUCAUGGGCCCAGGUGAUCCUCCCACCUCAGCCUCCUGAGUAGCUGGGACCACAAGAGCACCCCUCCUGGCUGAGGGGGUUUUAUUGUAAACACUUCUUUACUUUUUGGCACCGCAGAUGGUCUAGUCCACUCUGUGUUUCCUGCCCUGCUCCUCAGAUCAGCUCUCUCUCUCUGAGGAGCACUGGCUCCUUUUAUUGGAGAACAGUGUUAGGAGCCAAGACCCGGGCUGGGUGCCCAUGGCUGCUGGGGGUUCUUUGAGGCCCACUCAGCUGACAGUAUACACACACUCAACUUUUUGCUCUAUCUGCCCACGGACCUGUGUUUCUUCCCGUAGCCCUCUGCUGCAGCAGUCAGAUGGGAGUUUCACUGACAUCUCUGAUCUGUUGCCCCAGGGACCGUUCCCUCCGCUUGCUUAGAUCUGUGUCCCGGCAGCGAGGAACACGGCUCCUCCCCACAGUGCCCUGGUUCAGCUGUUCCUGCUCAGCAUCCACACACCCCUUCAUGGAGCAGCUGGGAGGCAGGAGGGACUCUGUGGCACACUCACCGGAAAGGGUGGGCACAGUGGGUCACCAGGCACGCUUAGCUCUCAGGUGGUGGCUGUUCUCAACCCUGAGAAAUGAGACCAGCGAGGCCCCUCCUCGAGGGCCCAUGAGGGAUGGAGCUGGACGUGAGGUUCACAGCCUGGUGGUCUGCUUCUGCAGGGGACAGUGCCACUCAUCACACUGGAUAGGGAUGGGGCCCCUGACACAAGCAGGGGUUGUGAAUUGUAUCUGGUUUGUUUGGAGGUCUACAUUUGAAUCUGGUUACGCACUGAGGACUCGGUCUCAGCCUUCCCUUAUUUUAGGGCUAAGUAAAGGCCUCCUUUCUGUGUUUCACAUGGGGCUUUUGACAGGCUUCAAAGCCCGAACGGAGCGAGCAGGAGACUUCAGGAUGCCACAUCCUCAC
RNAcentral lists this long non-coding RNA (1960 nucleotides) under Marmota monax (woodchuck). The record is from RNAcentral. Lineage: Eukaryota; Metazoa; Chordata; Mammalia; Rodentia; Sciuridae.